CCUACGGGUGGCUGCAGUGGGGAAUAUUGCUCAAUGGGCGCAAGCCUGAUGCGGCCAUGCCGCGUGUGUGAAGAAGGCCUUCGGGUUGUAAAGCACUUUCAGCGGGGAGGAAGGCGGUGAGGUUAAUAACCUCAUCGAUUGACGUUACCCGCAGAAGAAGCACCGGCUAACUCCGUGCCAGCAGCCGCGGUAAUACGGAGGGUGCAAGCGUUAAUCGGAAUUACUGGGCGUAAAGCGCACGCAGGCGGUCUGUCAAGUCGGAUGUGAAAUCCCCGGGCUCAACCUGGGAACUGCAUUCGAAACUGGCAGGCUAGAGUCUUGUAGAGGGGGGUAGAAUUCCAGGUGUAGCGGUGAAAUGCGUAGAGAUCUGGAGGAAUACCGGUGGCGAAGGCGGCCCCCUGGACAAAGACUGACGCUCAGGUGCGAAAGCGUGGGGAGCAAACAGGAUUAGAUACCCUUGUAGUC
RNAcentral lists this ribosomal RNA (465 nucleotides) under uncultured Klebsiella sp. RNAcentral's name for it is "bacterial SSU rRNA". It matches the Rfam family "Bacterial small subunit ribosomal RNA", at positions 338 to 795 of the family's 1533-position model. Lineage: Bacteria; Pseudomonadati; Pseudomonadota; Gammaproteobacteria; Enterobacterales; Enterobacteriaceae. The record is from RNAcentral.